RNAcentral lists this ribosomal RNA (579 nucleotides) under uncultured Curtobacterium sp. RNAcentral's name for it is "bacterial SSU rRNA". It matches the Rfam family "Bacterial small subunit ribosomal RNA", at positions 102 to 694 of the family's 1533-position model. Lineage: Bacteria; Bacillati; Actinomycetota; Actinomycetes; Micrococcales; Microbacteriaceae. The record is from RNAcentral.
ACGGGUGAGUAACACGUGAGUAACCUGCCCCUGACUCUGGGAUAAGCGUUGGAAACGACGUCUAAUACUGGAUAUGAUCGCUGGCCGCAUGGUCUGGUGGUGGAAAGAUUUUUUGGUUGGGGAUGGACUCGCGGCCUAUCAGCUUGUUGGUGAGGUAAUGGCUCACCAAGGCGACGACGGGUAGCCGGCCUGAGAGGGUGACCGGCCACACUGGGACUGAGACACGGCCCAGACUCCUACGGGAGGCAGCAGUGGGGAAUAUUGCACAAUGGGCGAAAGCCUGAUGCAGCAACGCCGCGUGAGGGAUGACGGCCUUCGGGUUGUAAACCUCUUUUAGUAGGGAAGAAGCGAAAGUGACGGUACCUGCAGAAAAAGCACCGGCUAACUACGUGCCAGCAGCCGCGGUAAUACGUAGGGUGCAAGCGUUGUCCGGAAUUAUUGGGCGUAAAGAGCUCGUAGGCGGUUUGUCGCGUCUGCUGUGAAAUCCCGAGGCUCAACCUCGGGCUUGCAGUGGGUACGGGCAGACUAGAGUGCGGUAGGGGAGAUUGGAAUUCCUGGUGUAGCGGUGGAAUGCGCAGA